AUGCACGGCUUGCCCCCUGCGGCCGCCGGCGCCAGUGGUGGCGCCGUGGGUGGGAGAGCUCGGCGCAGGUCGGAUCUGGGCAGGGUGCCCGGGCCUGCGGCCCUCUGCGGGGAGCUCGGUGGAGAUGCUCUCUGUUCGUGGGUUCCAGAGACAUGGUUGUGGCGUGGCUGCCGCCAGGAGUGGGCGUGUGCAGCUGCUGCUGCAGUUCCGUUGGCGUCUGGCCGUGUUGGUGUUGGGUGCUGCCUUGCUGGAUUGGAUCUUCAUCGGACGUGCGGGAGGUGGUUCAUGGAGUGCGUGUCCUUGGCUGUGCAAGGCGUCGGUGUUCCGCAACAUUAG
Molecule: ribosomal RNA, 336 nt
Filed under: Triticum aestivum (bread wheat)
Lineage: Eukaryota; Viridiplantae; Streptophyta; Magnoliopsida; Poales; Poaceae
Description: partial small subunit ribosomal RNA
Source: RNAcentral